UCCUGAUGCCCUCAGGCCCUCUGCCCAGGACAUCAAUGGUGCCCGGGCCUACCACAGCCCCCCAGGAAACUCAGAAUCAGGAAGGAAAUCAUCUCUUCCCUCUGUAGCCCCCACUGGGAGCGCCUCAGCUGCUGAGGAUGGUGAUCUGCUGGCUCAGCCUUGGUACUCGGGGAACUGUGACCGCCAUGCUGUUGAGAGUGCCCUGCUCCACUUACAAAAGGAUGGGGCCUAUACCGUGCGCCCCAGCUCAGGGCCUCAUGGCUCCCAGCCCUUCACCCUGGCAGUGCUUCUCCGAGGCCGGGUCUUCAACAUUCCCAUCCGGCGGCUGGAUGGCGGAUGCCACUAUGCCCUGGGCCGGGAGGGCAGGAACCAUGAGGAGCUCUUCUGCUCCGUGGCCGCCAUGGUCCAGCACUUCACACAGCACCCUCUGCCCCUUGUGGACAGACACAGUGGCAGCCGUGAACUCACCUGCCUGCUCUUCCCUGCCAAGCCUUGAGGCCACAGCGAAGAAUGCAGGUGUCCCCCAGUUUACUAGGUCCUGGAUGAAGGAACCGUGGUGGCCUAGACCAGUCAGGGGACAGCACAGGCACUGCCAGAACAGCAAAGGAUCCUCUCACAUCUACUUGUGGGCCUAGGGCACCCUGAGAAGGACUGGCCUGCCUUGCACAAGUUUGCUUUCAAUAAACAUUUGUUGAAUG
This 698-nucleotide small RNA is filed under the name Pongo abelii (Sumatran orangutan). Its description in RNAcentral is "processed transcript". The record is from RNAcentral. Lineage: Eukaryota; Metazoa; Chordata; Mammalia; Primates; Hominidae.